GAUCAAUGAUUCAUUGAGUCCAGUUUUAAAAUAUAAACGUUUGAAAAAUCGGUGAAAAAAUUGAUAAAAAUCGCAGCUGAAGUCAUUGUAUCAUCUCAAACAAUGCAUUGGUAUCGACAUGAAUAUAUCGAAUACAAAUUAUACACACGGGGCCUAAUUGUCUAACGGAGUUCAUUGAUCGUAAAGUUCAUACGAUCGGCUACGAUCAACGAUCAAUCGUAACUUUACAUUGGUAUUGUCUAAUUUAGUUCAUUAUAUGAAGACCGGAUGGUGAACGAUGAACUGAAAUCAUUCAUGAAGAUUGCGUAUUGUUUAUGCAAAACGAUAGUGAAACUAUCGUUAAUAAUAUUAUCAAAUUUAAGUUAAACUCCAUAAUAAUGCAUAUAUUUUAACAAAAUUUUAAUUCUUUUACUUAAAACAUUAAAGAAGCAUUAAAUUUCACGAAAAACAUCUACUAUUGAAGAAAAUAGCAUGAGAAAAUGGUACAUGCAACUCAAGUAACAAAACGCAAUUAACGAAUUUAACCAAGGGCUAUUUGGACUAUUUGGUAAUCUCCCUGUUGUCUGUGUAGGCUAGUGUCAAAAUAACGGGGUAUCCUAUUAGUCUGUGGUGAAACAUAGCAUAUUAAUAACCUGUGGAUUAGAAAUUUUAAUUUAACAAAACAAAACAAAAUUUUUAUUUUUCAGGUUUUAAAGAGAAUUUAGAAAUUGAGCAAAGUUUUACUAAAUUAUAGUGAUCUUAGGAGCAAAGUUUACUUCGUUUGUGUUAUUGUUAAUCAAAAAUAUAAAAGUAAACAAAAAAGAAAACUACCUCUAUCUAAUUUUGUCGAUGUCCAUUUCUUAAGAAGUUUCUCAUUAAAACAACCCUUAACUCAGGCAAGGCAGGGCUAAGGUGGUUAGCGUAACUACAAGUGGUUUACUUACAGUUAGCCAACUGAAGAACAAUCAACAAUGCCCGAUUAAUAAGUGAUCGCGCUGCUUGUCUACUCAUGUCCCUGCACUAGUUAUAGCAGUAAUUUCUUUGUUCGGAAGUAUUUAGCACAUCCGAGCUGCACAAAAGGAGAGGACUAAAAUGAUUAUUAUGAACAGACCAUUAUGAUGAACCACUGAUAUUGACUCAGAGACAUGAAGAUGAGUGCUUUGACAACAAGACUGACUAGCUGAGCCAGCUUAAGAAUUAUGUGGUGUGUGUGUGUGUCUAAUUCCAGGAGCUCUCUAUGUCAGCCAUCCAUCUAUAUUCUUACUCAUUUUUGUUAAUUAUAAAAUAAAUUUGAUUAUUUA
This is a long non-coding RNA of Bicyclus anynana (squinting bush brown), 1280 nucleotides long. RefSeq lists it as uncharacterized. Lineage: Eukaryota; Metazoa; Arthropoda; Insecta; Lepidoptera; Nymphalidae. The record is from RefSeq and is a predicted model, not a curated record. The transcript is spliced from 2 exons.